This 1901-nucleotide ribosomal RNA is filed under the name Vibrio parahaemolyticus. Its description in RNAcentral is "partial 23S ribosomal RNA". It matches the Rfam family "Bacterial large subunit ribosomal RNA", at positions 1 to 1933 of the family's 2925-position model. The record is from RNAcentral. Lineage: Bacteria; Pseudomonadati; Pseudomonadota; Gammaproteobacteria; Vibrionales; Vibrionaceae.
GUUGUAUGGUUAAGUGACUAAGCGUACACGGUGGAUGCCUUGGCAGUCAGAGGCGAUGAAAGACGUAGUAACUUGCGAUAAGCCCAGAUUAGGUAGUAACAACCAUUUGAGUCUGGGAUUUCUGAAUGGGGAAACCCACGUGCAUAAGCACGUAUCCUUACCUGAAUACAUAGGGUAAGGAGGCGAACCGGGGGAACUGAAACAUCUAAGUACCCCGAGGAAAAGAAAUCAACCGAGAUUCCGAAAGUAGCGGCGAGCGAAAUUGGACUAGCCCUUAAGCUUUACACGCGUUAGACGAACGGUCUGGAAAGUCCGACGAUACAGGGUGAUAGUCCCGUAGUUGACGACGUGUGUUCAGUGAAAUCGAGUAGGGCGGGACACGUGAUAUCCUGUCUGAAUAUGGGGGGACCAUCCUCCAAGGCUAAAUACUACUGACUGACCGAUAGUGAACCAGUACCGUGAGGGAAAGGCGAAAAGAACCCCUGUGAGGGGAGUGAAAUAGAACCUGAAACCGUGUACGUACAAGCAGUAGGAGCAGGCUUUGUCCUGUGACUGCGUACCUUUUGUAUAAUGGGUCAGCGACUUAUAUUCAGUGGCAAGGUUAACCAUCUAGGGGAGCCGUAGGGAAACCGAGUCUUAACUGGGCGUUCAGUCUCUGGAUAUAGACCCGAAACCAGGUGAUCUAGCCAUGGGCAGGUUGAAGGUUGAGUAACAUCAACUGGAGGACCGAACCGACUAAUGUUGAAAAAUUAGCGGAUGACUUGUGGCUAGGGGUGAAAGGCCAAUCAAACCUGGAGAUAGCUGGUUCUCCCCGAAAGCUAUUUAGGUAGCGCCUCGGACGAAUACUACUGGGGGUAGAGCACUGUUAAGGCUAGGGGGUCAUCCCGACUUACCAACCCUUUGCAAACUCCGAAUACCAGUAAGUACUAUCCGGGAGACACACGGCGGGUGCUAACGUCCGUCGUGGAGAGGGAAACAACCCAGACCGCCAGCUAAGGUCCCAAAUUACUACUAAGUGGGAAACGAUGUGGGAAGGCUCAGACAGCCAGGAUGUUGGCUUAGAAGCAGCCAUCAUUUAAAGAAAGCGUAAUAGCUCACUGGUCGAGUCGGCCUGCGCGGAAGAUGUAACGGGGCUAAGUAGUAAACCGAAGCUGCGGCAAUAUACUUUUGUAUAUUGGGUAGGGGAGCGUUCUGUAAGCGGUUGAAGGUGUGUGGUAACGCAUGCUGGACGUAUCAGAAGUGCGAAUGCUGACAUGAGUAACGAUAAAGGGGGUGAAAAACCUCCUCGCCGGAAGACCAAGGGUUCCUGUCCAACGUUAAUCGGGGCAGGGUAAGUCGACCCCUAAGGCGAGGCCGAAAGGCGUAGUCGAUGGGAAACGGGUUAAUAUUCCCGUACUUCUUACAAUUGCGAUGGGGGGACGGAGAAGGCUAGGUGGGCCUGGCGACGGUUGUCCAGGUUCAAGUGCGUAGGCUUAAGAGUUAGGUAAAUCCGGCUCUUUUUAAGGCUGAGACACGACGUCGAGCAUCUACGGAUGUGAAGUCAUUGAUGCCAUGCUUCCAGGAAAAGCCUCUAAGCUUCAGAUUGUAAGGAAUCGUACCCCAAACCGACACAGGUGGUCGGGUAGAGAAUACCAAGGCGCUUGAGAGAACUCGGGUGAAGGAACUAGGCAAAAUGGUACCGUAACUUCGGGAGAAGGUACGCUCUUGAUGGUGAAGUCCCUCGCGGAUGGAGCUGACGAGAGUCGCAGAUACCAGGUGGCUGCAACUGUUUAUUAAAAACACAGCACUGUGCAAAAUCGUAAGAUGACGUAUACGGUGUGACGCCUGCCCGGUGCCGGAAGGUUAAUUGAUGGGGUUAGACUUCGGUCGAAGCUCUUGAUCGAAGCCCCGGUAAACGGCGG